GUGAGUGGCGAACGGGUGAGUACACGUGGAUAACCUACCUCAAGGUUGGGGGAUUAACAUUUGGAACAGAUGCUAAUAACCGAAUAAAACUUAGUAUCGCAUGAUACCAGGUUAAAAGGCGCUACGGCGUCACCUAGAGAUGGAUCCGCGGUGCAUUAGUUAGUUGGUGGGGUAAAGGCUUACCAAGACAAUGAUGCAUAGCCGAGUUGAGAGACUGACCGGCCACAUUGGGACUGAGACACGGCCCAAACUCCUACGGGAGGCUGCAGUAGGGAAUCUUCCACAAUGGGCGAAAGCCUGAUGGAGCAACGCCGCGUGUGUGAUGAAGGCUUUCGGGUCGUAAAGCACUGUUGUAUGGGAAGAACAGCUAGAGUAGGGAAUGACUUUAGUUUGACGGUACCAUACCAGAAAGGGACGGCUAAAUACGUG
Molecule: ribosomal RNA, 429 nt
Filed under: uncultured bacterium
Lineage: Bacteria
Description: bacterial SSU rRNA
Rfam family: Bacterial small subunit ribosomal RNA
Source: RNAcentral